AUUAUCCCAAGUAGCACGGGGCCCGAGAAAUCCCGUGUGAAUCUGUCAGGACCACCUGAUAAGCCUAAAUACUCCCAGAUGACCGAUAGCGGACAAGUACCGUGAGGGAAAGGUGAAAAGUACCCCGGGAGGGGAGUGAAAUAGAACCUGAAACCGGAUGCGUACAAGCAGUCAGAGCCCGCAAGGGUGAUGGCGUACCUUUUGUAUAAUGGGUCAGCGACUUACAUUCAGUAGCAAGGUUAACCGCAUAGGGGAGCCGUAGAGAAAUCGAGUCUUAAUAGGGCGUUUAGUUGCUGGGUGUAGACCCGAAACCGGGUGAUCUAUCCAUGAGCAGGUUGAAGGUUGGGUAACACUAACUGGAGGACCGAACCCACUGUCGUUGAAAAGCCAGGGGAUGACUUGUGGAUAGGGGUGAAAGGCUAAUCAAACUCGGUGAUAGCUGGUUCUCCCCGAAAUGCAUUUA
This 463-nucleotide ribosomal RNA is filed under the name Ochromonas sp. CCMP1393. RNAcentral describes it as "partial Bacterial large subunit ribosomal RNA". It matches the Rfam family "Bacterial large subunit ribosomal RNA", at positions 402 to 872 of the family's 2925-position model. The record is from RNAcentral. Lineage: Eukaryota; Chrysophyceae; Chromulinales; Chromulinaceae.